AUAUAGGCGAUGGAGUUCGCCAUUAAACGCUUAAAAGCUAAUGACUCCUACUCU
RNAcentral lists this non-coding RNA (54 nucleotides) under uncultured Cetobacterium sp. RNAcentral's name for it is "Fluoride riboswitch". The stretch from base 6 to 52 matches the Rfam family "Fluoride riboswitch aptamer (crcB RNA motif)", at positions 10 to 59 of the family's 64-position model. The record is from RNAcentral. Lineage: Bacteria; Fusobacteriati; Fusobacteriota; Fusobacteriia; Fusobacteriales; Fusobacteriaceae.